Non-coding RNA from Parelaphostrongylus tenuis, 72 nucleotides. Lineage: Eukaryota; Metazoa; Nematoda; Chromadorea; Rhabditida; Metastrongylidae. The record is from the annotation of a GenBank genome assembly.
GCGUCGGUGGUGUGACGGUUAGCAUACGCUCCCGGAAAGAGUGAAAUCUGCGUUCGAAUCCCGGUUGAUGCA